GAUGAACGCUGGCGGCGUGCCUAACACAUGCAAGUCGAACGGAGUCCAGCCUUUAAGACCUUCGGGUCAAAGAGGGGAAGACUGAGUGGCGGACGGGUGAGUAUCACGUGGGCAACCUGGCUCAUAGAGGGGGAUAACAGAGAGAAAUUUCUGCUAAUACCGCAUAAGCACACACUGCCGCAUGGCAGAGGGUGAAAAGAGAAUCGCUAUGAGAUGGACCCGCGUCUGAUUAGCCAGUUGGCAGGGUAAGAGCCUACCAAAGCGACGAUCAGUAGCCGAUCUGAGAGGAUGAACGGCCACAUUGGGACUGAGACACGGCCCAAACUCCUACGGGAGGCAGCAGUGGGGGAUAUUGCACAAUGGGGGGAACCCUGAUGCAGCGACGCCGCGUGAGUGAAGAAGUAUUUCGGUAUGUAAAGCUCUAUCAGCAGGGAAGAUAAUGACAGUACCUGAAUAAGAAGCCCCGGCUAACUACGUG
RNAcentral lists this ribosomal RNA (478 nucleotides) under uncultured bacterium. RNAcentral describes it as "partial 16S ribosomal RNA". It matches the Rfam family "Bacterial small subunit ribosomal RNA", at positions 28 to 507 of the family's 1533-position model. The record is from RNAcentral.